This 229-nucleotide ribosomal RNA is filed under the name uncultured bacterium. RNAcentral describes it as "partial 16S ribosomal RNA". It matches the Rfam family "Bacterial small subunit ribosomal RNA", at positions 93 to 339 of the family's 1533-position model. The record is from RNAcentral.
AAGUGGCGAACGAGUGAGUAACACGUAAGUAUCUGCCCUGUACUCAGGGAUAACCCGGCGAAAGUCGGGAUAAUACCGGAUGGUCUCGAAAGAGUAAAGAUUUAUCGGUACGGGAGGAACUUGCGGCUUAUCAGUUAGUUGGUGGGGUAAAGGCCUACCAAGACUAUGACGAGUAGCUGGAUUGAGAGAUUGACCAGCCACGAUGGGACUGAGACACGGCCCAUACUCC